RNAcentral lists this ribosomal RNA (449 nucleotides) under uncultured bacterium. RNAcentral describes it as "partial 16S ribosomal RNA". It matches the Rfam family "Bacterial small subunit ribosomal RNA", at positions 338 to 795 of the family's 1533-position model. The record is from RNAcentral.
CCUACGGGGGGCUGCAGUGGGGAAUAUUGGACAAUGGGCGCAAGCCUGAUCCAGCAAUACCGCGUGUGUGAAGAAGGCCUUAGGGUUGUAAAGCACUUUCAAUGGGGAGGAAAACCUACCGGUCAAUACCCGGUAGCUUGACAUUACCUGUAGAAGAAGCCCCGGCUAACUCCGUGCCAGCAGCCGCGGUAAUACGGAGGGUGCAAGCGUUGAUCGGAAUUACUGUGCGUAAAGCGUUAGGAGGCGGGUGAAAGCCCCGGGCUUAACCGUGGAACUGCAUUUGAAACUGGCGGACUAGAGUUGAGUAGAGGGGAGUGGAAUUUCAGGUGUAGCGGUGAAAUGCGUAGAUAUCUGAAGGAACACCAGUGGCGAAGGCGACUCCCUGGACUCAAACUGACGCUGAGGUACGAAAGCGUGGGUAGCAAACAGGAUUAGAUACCCUGGUAGUC